AGACCAAAUUCGGAGAGGGAAAGAGACAAAAAAGAAACAAAGGAAGGGAGGGGGAGGGAGGGAGGGAGGGAGGGAGGGAGGGAGGAAGGAAGGAAGGAAGGAAGGAAGGAAGGAAGGAAGGAAGGAAGGAAGGAAGGAAGGAAGGAAGGAAGGAAGGAAGGAAGGAAGGAAGAAAAAGGAGAGGGAAGGAGGAAGGAAGGAAGAAAAAGGAGAGGGAAGGAGGAAGGAAGGAAGGAAGGAAGGAAGGAAGGAAGAAAAAGAGAAAGAAAGAAAGAAAGAAAAAAGAAAGAAAGAAAGAAGAAAGAAAGAAAGAAAGAAAGAAAGAAGAAAGAAAGAAGAAAGGAAAGAAGGAAGAAAAAGGAGAGGGAGGGAGGGAAGGAGGGAAGAAAGAAAGAAAGAAAGAAAGAAAGAAAGAAAGAAAGAAAGAAGAAAGAAGAAAGGAAGGAGGGAAGGAAGGAAGAAAAAGGAGAAAGAGAGGGAUGGAGGGAAGGAGGGAAGAAAGAGAAAAAAGAAAGAGAAAGAAAGAAGAAAGAAAGAGAAAGAAAGAAAGAAAGAAAGAAAGAAGAAAGAAAGAAAAAAGAAAGAGAAAGAAAGAAAGAAGAAAGAAAGAGAAAGAAAGAAAGAGAGAGAGAGAGAAAGAAAGGAGGAAGGAAGGAAGAAAAAGGAGAGGGAAGGAGGGAAGGAGGGAAGGAAGGAAGGAAGGAAGGAAGGAAGGAAGGAAGGAAGGAAGGAAGGAAGGGAGCCACAGGUGCCCAGCCAUGGCCAGAGCACGUCUGCUUUGCCCCGAAACGAUUUCUGUCCCGAGUCUGCACAUCUUCCUUAGGUAAACGUCAGGCUGUGAGCGCCCUCGGUCAUUCCACCCGGGAGCCGCCUCCCUGCUGCUCCCUGCCUCUCGGGAUCCCCUGGGUGUUUUUGCUGUGCUUUGGGCAGAGAAGAUGCCCUCCUCCCCGCAGCCCUCCGUCCCAUUGUCAUGCGUCUGUUGACCAUCGGUCAGGAGUCAGGAAGGGGCUGCGGGCACAGCCGUCUCCCCACGGGGACCUGGACUUUGGCCGCAUCCGUGCUGGGAUCUUCCAGGGGCCCCUGGGUCCGCGCAGGACGCCAGGGGCUCUGACGCUCACAGAGAGAGGCGCAGCUGCAUGA
RNAcentral lists this long non-coding RNA (1140 nucleotides) under Felis catus (domestic cat). Its description in RNAcentral is "lncRNA (ENSFCAG00000052820.1)". The record is from RNAcentral. Lineage: Eukaryota; Metazoa; Chordata; Mammalia; Carnivora; Felidae.